This 292-nucleotide ribosomal RNA is filed under the name uncultured bacterium. RNAcentral's name for it is "partial 16S ribosomal RNA". It matches the Rfam family "Bacterial small subunit ribosomal RNA", at positions 505 to 796 of the family's 1533-position model. The record is from RNAcentral.
GUGUCAGCAGCCGCGGUAAUACGUAGGUGGCAAGCGUUGUCCGGAUUUACUGGGCGUAAAGGGCGUGCAGGCGGUCUAUUAAGUCUAGGGUGAAAGCUCCCGGCUCAACUGGGAGAGGUCCUUGGAUACUGGUGGACUUGAGGGAUGCAGAGGAAAGUGGAAUUCCCGGUGUAGUGGUGAUAUGCGUAGAUAUCGGGAGGAACACCAGUGGCGAAGGCGGCUUUCUGGGCAUUUCCUGACGCUGAGACGCGAAAGCGUGGGGAGCGAACCGGAUUAGAUACCCGUGUAGUCC